UAGAAACUUACAAAGGUUAAAUUGUGGUCC
RNAcentral lists this non-coding RNA (30 nucleotides) under Rattus norvegicus (Norway rat). Lineage: Eukaryota; Metazoa; Chordata; Mammalia; Rodentia; Muridae. The record is from RNAcentral.